UACGUAGGGUGCGAGCGUUAAUCGGAAUUACUGGGCGUAAAGUGUGCGCAGGCGGCUUCGCAAGUCGAGUGUGAAAUCCCCGAGCUUAACUUGGGAAUUGCGCUCGAAACUACGGAGCUGGAGUGUGGCAGAGGAAGGUGGAAUUCCACGUGUAGCGGUGAAAUGCGUAGAGAUGUGGAGGAACACCGAUGGCGAAGGCAGCCUCCUGGGCCAACACUGACGCUCAUGCACGAAAGCGUGGGGAGCAAACAGG
Molecule: ribosomal RNA, 253 nt
Filed under: uncultured bacterium
Lineage: Bacteria
Description: partial 16S ribosomal RNA
Rfam family: Bacterial small subunit ribosomal RNA
Source: RNAcentral